AAGAGCAGCAGAUAAUCACUAGAGCACUUGCAUCUUAAAAGCAAUGAGGACAGACGCUAAAAAAGAGUGGGGUUGUCAAAAAGGCCAAAUGCUUGCAGAAUGUCAAGUAGGGAGAGGUCUGAGAAAAGUAGUCAUGUUUUAAGAAGAAAAGAACCAGGAAACAGACUUUUCCAGCGUCGCUGGCUUUGAUUCUGCCAAUUGGUGUCCCCGGUGGAGAAGAUUCAGGAGUUUUAAACUGGUUGCAAUGUAAAUGAGGCAGUGACCUGGUUUCCACCAGGCUGAUGAGAACAGUGCCCAAGGGGAUGGCAAGCCACAAAGUGGAAGGAACCCAGGUUCUAGAAUAACCUCAUAUCCGACCAGCCUGUAAUGUGAAAGAGGAAAAAAAGACAUUGCACUACAACCAUUAUGUUUUUGAAGUUUUGUUGUUGUUAUUGUAGUUCUGCGUUGACCCUAAGUCGGUGGUUCUCAAAGUGCGGUCCCUGGACCAGCCACAUUGGCAUUACCUGGGAACUAGUUAGAAAUGCAAAUUUCUGGCCCCACCUACCUCCAGAAUCAGAAACUCAGGGGAUGCCCACCAGUGCUGUGUUUUAAGAAACUCCUUAGGUAGUUCUGAUGAGUGCUCAAGUUUGAGAGCCACUGCCUUAACUAGUACAAUCAUAGUACUUACUAGCAUGGACACAGGCAAGGGAAAGAGGUGUUAAUUGCUGGUUUGCGUGGCAGUCAAGAUUUCAAUGGCCACGUUAUCAUUUUAAAACUCAGGGAAGCGAUGUCUACUGUUGAAAAGGAGAUAAAAUGAAAUGAAGUACCACCACUCAACUUUGCCCAAGUCACUGAAUUUUCUCGAUUUGACUUGAAGACUCUAUUUUCCUUUAAGAGGCAAGUGGAUUGGUAAUCAGCAAGAUCAUAGCUUUAAUACAAGCUAAAUAGCUGCCCUUUGUUUUUUCUUUUAACAUGAUAUAUGUGGUUGGGAGGAUAGACAGAACAGUCAAGGCACAAACAGCAUAAGAAAGUACAGUUGACCUUUGAACAACAUGAAUUUGAACUGUAUGCGUCCACUUAUACUUAGAUUUUCUUCUGCCUCUGCCACCCCCGAGGCAGUAAGACCAACCCCUCCUUCUUCCUCAGCCUCCCCAACAUGAAGGCUAUGAGGAUGAAGACCUUUAUGAUGAUCCACCUCCACUUAAUCAAUAGUAAACAUAUUUUCCCUUUCUUAUGAUUUUCUUAUUAGUUUUUAUUAUUAUAUAUAUAUUUUUUGAGGCAGGGUCUCACUUUGUCACCCAGGCUAGAGUGCAGUGGCAUGAUCUUGCUCACUGCAGUCUUGACCUCCUGGUCUCAAGAGAUCCUCCGACCUCAGGUAGCUGAGACUACAGGUGCAUGCCACCACGCCUGGCUAAUUUUUUGUAAUUUUUUUCUUUUUUGGUAGAGAUGGAGUUUUCCCAUGUUGCCCAGGCUGGUCUGGCACUUCUGGGCUCAGGUGAUCCACCCACCUCGGCCUCCCAAAGUGCUUGGAUUACAAACAUGAGCCAUUGUGCCCAGCCAUGAUUUUCUUAAAAAUAUAUUCUUUUCUCUAGCUUACUUUAAGAGUACAGUAUAUAAAAAUAUAACAUACACAAUAUGUGUUAAGGCGGCCAGUCAAUGGUAGGCCAUUUGUAGCUAAGUUUUUGGGGAGUUGAAAGUUAUACAAGAAUUUUCAACUAUGCAGGUUGGUGCCCUGAACCCUUGGGUUGUUCAAUGUUCAAGUAUAAUGCUUUUCUUAUUUCUUAAAGGGGAACUUUGCUGCCUGGGGGAUGUUGAUCCUCAUUGACCCCUAAUACCUCUGACCCCUCAAAAAGCCUCAUGCUCUAGAAUAAUAAGGAAAUGAGCCAGAUUUUUAUGUUUCACAAUUUAUGAAAACAAAACAAUCCAGCAUGCUAAAGCUUUGUGUAACUGUAUUUUAAAGCAGGAUUUUCUCUACAUUUCCUCUUUUGUGCUUCUUUUCUGAUUUGUACUCAUAAGUAGUAGAAAGCAUUAAGAUGAGAUUAUUUUCCAGAAAUGAUUGUUUUCUGUGAGAACUCAAAAUAUGUUGAUUAAAAGAUAUAUAGUUGGUUAAAAAAAGAAUGUCAUUACAUAUAAUUUUUCUGUCCCUAUAUUAUCACAUUUCUCUCUAUAGCUGAUAUUUUUGUGAAUGGUUGCAAUCAACAAUCUCAGGUUUUAAAUGAUUUCUCUUUUGCUGAACACUUGAAUUGUCUGUACAAUGUAGCUUCUUAGCAAUUUUAAGAAAAAUAAAUUUGUUUUCCAUUGGCCAAAUC
Molecule: long non-coding RNA, 2288 nt
Filed under: Homo sapiens (human)
Lineage: Eukaryota; Metazoa; Chordata; Mammalia; Primates; Hominidae
Description: HSALNT0086141
Source: RNAcentral